CUCUCAGAGUACAAUAUAAGAUACAUUAAAAGCUUUAGACAAACAAAAGCAUGGCUACUAUCAAUACUGACACUCGUUAUCAUAUUUAAAAAUCUGGGCACAAACACAUUCAAUAUUCAACACUAAUUAUAAAAUGUAAUUUUUUCCCGUACCUAUAUAGUACUAAGAUUUUGGUACCCCCCUAGAGGUUCUGUUGUUUUUCUCGUACCCCCCUCAGAGGUUCUGGAUUUUUUUCGUACCCCCAAAAAAUAUCCUCCACACCCCCUAGUAAAUACUUUAUGACCGGUCCCUUAACAGUAAUCAAUCCAAAAGCACCGCGAGUCUGCUGC
Non-coding RNA from Paramuricea clavata, 329 nucleotides. The record is from the annotation of a GenBank genome assembly. NCBI's taxonomy places the organism in Eukaryota, Metazoa, Cnidaria, Anthozoa, Malacalcyonacea, Plexauridae.